Molecule: ribosomal RNA, 2298 nt
Filed under: Triticum aestivum (bread wheat)
Lineage: Eukaryota; Viridiplantae; Streptophyta; Magnoliopsida; Poales; Poaceae
Description: partial small subunit ribosomal RNA
Source: RNAcentral
AUGCCGCACCGUCGCCGCCUACACAGCCUCGCGCCGCUGCCGCCGCCUCCCCCUUCGCCUCACACCGCCUUCGACCUGUCCGAGGCCGAGUCGCGGCUGCCACUCCUCGCAGACUACGGGCGGCUCAAGCCCGUCGACGACCUCCCCGCCCCCGUCGCGCCGCCGUCCGCGCACUGGAGCGCCGGGAGCGCCUUCACCGGCACCGAGCCCGCGACCGCCUCCACGUCCACGGCAGCGACGGGCUCCUCCCUGCCACCGGCGUCGUCCGCCGCCAGGGACGACACGUGGGUGCGCCGCUCCAGGGAGAGCUACUACCUGCAGCUCUCCCUCGCCAUCCGCAUCACCUCCGAGGCCUUCCUCGCCGGCGUCCCGCCCGAGCUCCUCCCACGCCGCCUCGGCCCCGGCGAUGUGGCGGCGGAGCAGCACGCCGACGUCCCCGCCGAUGCCGCCGCCGUCUCCUACCGGCUCUGGGUGAACGGGUGCCUGUCGUGGGGGGACAAGAUCGCGCACGGGUUCUACAACAUCCUGGGCAUCGACCCGCACCUGUGGGCGAUGUGCAACGCCGACGAGGGGGAGGGCCCCCGGCUGCCGACGCUGGCGGCGCUGCGGGAGGUGGACGCCAGCGACCAGUCGUCGCUGGAGGUGGUGCUCGUGGACAAGUGCGGCGACUCCGUGCUGGUCGACCUGGAGCGGCGCGCGCUCGACCUCCACCGCGCGCUCGGCGCCACGCUCGACCUCGUCCGCCGCCUCGCCCUGCUCGUCUCCGACCACAUGGGGGGUGCAUUGAGAUCGGAGGACGGAGACCUGUACAUGCGGUGGAAGGCGGGCAGCAAGCGGCUGAGGAAGCAGCAGAAGAGCGUCGUCGUCCCCAUCGGCCGCCUGUCCAUCGGGUUCUGCAGGCAUCGCGCCAUUCUCUUCAAGGCUCUGGCAGAUUUUAUCGGCCUGCCGUGCCGAAUCGCGCAAGGCUGCAAGUACUGCUCUGCACCUCACCGGUCCUCUUGCCUUGUCAAAAUUGAAAACGAGAGAAGAUAUUCAAGGGAGUACGUUGUGGACCUCGUGGUCGUGCCAGGGAGCAUCUGCAACCCAGACUCGUCCAUCAACGGCCAGCUGCUCUCCUCUGUGUCUUCGCCUUUCAAGACUUCUUGCACCGCAAGUUUGGAAAACUAUGCGGCACCAGUUACAGCUUGGAAUCGUGCGAUAGCUGAUGAUCGUUGCAACUCGAUGUUCUCAGAUUCUCAAUAUUCAGCAGUUGCCGGGAACAAGAACUCUGUUCAGGCAGACACCAAAGAGGGUGUGGUGCUGAAAUGCGGUCAGGUCAUGCAGAAUGACAACUGCAACAACAUGUCAGUGUUUCAAGUGUCAAGGCAAUUGAAGGCGAUGGAGGUCGGCACCGAGGAUGUCAAUAAGGAGAACAUCCCUGGUCUUACACUGCCAAAACACCUGCUCGCUGAGUCAUCUUUUGCCAUGGAUUGGCUUGAGAUAUCAUGGGAUGAGCUUGAGCUCAAGGAACGCAUAGGCGCUGGUUCGUUUGGUACCGUUUAUCGAGCUGACUGGCAUGGUUCUGAUGUUGCAGUAAAAGUGCUUACAGACCAGGGUGUUGGCGAAGCUCAGCUCAAAGAAUUCCUUAGAGAGAUCUCUAUCAUGAAACGAGUUCGCCAUCCAAACGUGGUAUUAUUCAUGGGCGCAGUGACAAAGUGCCCGCAUUUGUCGAUAGUAACCGAGUACUUGCCCAGAGGGAGCCUCUUCCGUCUCAUCAGCAAAGCUUCCGGUGGGGAAAUACUUGAUUUACGGCGGCGUUUGCGCAUGGCAUUAGAUGUUGCAAAAGGCAUCAACUAUCUCCACUGCCUGAACCCUCCUAUCGUACAUUGGGAUCUGAAGACACCAAACAUGUUGGUGGACAAGAACUGGUCUGUAAAGGUAGGUGACUUUGGCUUGUCCAGAUUUAAGGCGACCACAUUCAUAUCGUCGAAAUCAGUCGCUGGAACACCAGAAUGGAUGGCGCCAGAGUUUCUCCGUGGCGAGCCAUCCAACGAGAAAUGUGACGUGUACAGCUUCGGCGUGAUCUUAUGGGAGCUCCUGACUAUGCAGCAACCAUGGGGCGGCCUAGGCCCAGCACAAGUAGUAGGAGCAGUUGCAUUCCAGAACAGAAGGCUCCCAAUCCCCAAAGAUACCAUCCCAGAACUAGCUGCUCUUGUUGAAUCAUGUUGGGCUGAUGAUCCAAGGCAGCGCCCUUCGUUUUCAAGCAUUGUGGAUACGCUCAAGAAGUUGCUCAAGUCGAUGCAGGGAUCCGGUUCAUGA